RNAcentral lists this ribosomal RNA (2251 nucleotides) under Elphidium aculeatum. RNAcentral describes it as "SSU rRNA". It matches the Rfam family "Eukaryotic small subunit ribosomal RNA". Lineage: Eukaryota; Foraminifera; Rotaliida; Elphidiidae. The record is from RNAcentral.
CUCAAAGAUUAAGCCAUGCAAGUGGUUAUUUUUUAAUAACCCUAUCAGUUUAAAUAUACGCGCAAGCGUACAUGCAACUGCAGACAGCUGCUUAAUACAGUCACACUUGUCUUGACUCGGUUUAACUAAAUUUACGAACAACGGAUAACUCAGGGAAAGUUUGGCUAAUACGUACGAACAAUUAUUAUUGCAUACAGUUACGCAUGAAUGAGAUUGUAUACGUGCGCGUGCUUGCACCGCACACGGCAGAUAUUGUGUAUUUAUAACACGAUACAUGUCAUACAAGCAUCUAUAGCAUCAAGUCACAGGGUUGGCAAGUGUAUUUUUGAACCUUCAAAGCAGUCACGCAUACGGAAGAGUAGUUUCUGAUCCCAUAGAAGGAGCACUGUACAUUGAGAGACCGCUCUUAGUUCUAAGGAACGCAGCAGGCGCGUAAAUUGCCCAAUAAUAGUACAAAAACACAGUGAACAUUUCUAGCUCUCAUCUAUUGAGGCAGUGAUAAGCUGUAACGGUUGAGUAUUAAUCUAAUUUGACGUGUAUCUGGCAUGCGUUAUACGUUUACGCGUAUAUUACUGCAUACGCCGAUACUAUGUGUGCUCAGUCUGGAAUGCGGUGAGUCUAAACAACUCAGAACCUACGUUAUCAUAUACGUGUAUCUGAAUUUUCAAGUGGAGGGCAAGUCUGGUGCCAGCAGCCGCGGUAAUACCAGCUCCACUGGCCUAUACAAUCAUUGUUGCGGUUAAGAGGCUCGUAGUUGGAUUGAACUAAAUAUUUUUAUAUAUAUUUACAACACUGUGAUCAAAUCAGCAUGUAUCACGUAUGUAUUACUAAUACACGCAUUGUAUGUUUAUUCAUGGAAUGUUGCUCUGUAUUUUAUUAUACAAUUAUACGUCGAUGGGGAUAGUUGGAGUCAACAGUACUAGCAGGCGAGCGGUGAAAUGCAUUGACCCUACCAAGACUACCAAAAGCGAAAGCAGUUGUCUAGGCUAUAUUCUUUGUACUUGUAUACCAUCAUUAUACAAUACACAUACACACUUUACAAUGAAGAACGAAGGUUGGGGGAUCAAAGAGGAUCAGAUACCCUCGUCGUCCCAUUUUAUACAUCAAACGAUGGGUUCUCACUCGACCAAAAAUACAUAUCAAGACUUGUAGUACAUACUUCUGUACUCGUCUAUAUUACUGAUUUUCUAAGCUUUGCGCUCAAUUUUAUACGGUGAGAUGUAAGUAAUGGCUGUAUCUUUAUGAUGCAUGCUAUAUUAUGAUGCACGUAUUAGGCAUGCGCUUACUGCAGAAAUGUCUGAGAUAUUCCCCUCCGGGGGUAGUAUGCACGCAAGUGUGAAACUUGAAGGAAUUGACGGAAGGGCACCACAAGAACGCGUGGAGCAUGUGGCUUAAUUUGACUCAACGCGGGAAAUCUUACCGGGUCCGGACACACUGAGGAUUGACAGACAAACACAUUUAUGUGUUAUAAAGAUGCUAGUUCUUUCAUGAUUAUGUGAUAGGUGGUGCAUGGCCGUUCUUAGUUCGUGGAGUGAUCUGUCUGCUUAAUUGCGUUUCAAUAUUUUAUUACGUAUACGUAUGACCAACUACCUUUACCGGUAUGUUUGUGUCUAGUAUGCUAUCAUUUGAAAGCAACGAACGUGACCGUAUCCUUUUAUUAUGUACGCACGCGUAUAUUUAUUUCAUUAAAGGGACCGCUGUUUCUUUCUUUAAACCAGAGGAAGGUUACGGCAAUAACAGGUCUGUGAUGCCCUUCGAUGUUCCGGGCUGCACACGUGCUACAAUGAUUAUUUCAUUAAGUAUCUAAUCUUUUUAUGUAUCGUACCUCUGUGUAUGUUCAAAAAUACCUACCCUGAGAAUGGGCGGGUAAUCAAUUAGAAGUAAUGAUUUCCUUUUUUUAAUACGCAACUAUGUACCGUAUAUUACAUCCCACAUAUUUUCAAUAUAUGUGCGUGUGUGUUUUAUUACCGUGUACGCGUAACUGUUAAUUCAUGGUGGGGAUAGACCAUUGUUAAUUGUUGGUCUCGGUCUUAACUAGGAAUGCCUUGUACGGGUCAUUGGUUCAACAAACCACCCGGAAUACGUCCCUGCCCUUUGUACACACCGCCCGUCGCUCUUACCGAUGAACUUCGCUAUGAAUCUAUUGGACUGUGCUCUCUUAUGAGUGCGGAAAGAUAUAUGAAUAGUGUGGUUUAAAGGAAAGAGAAGUCGUAACAAGGCAUCAGUAGGUGAACCUGCUGAUGGAUCAUUA